This 719-nucleotide ribosomal RNA is filed under the name uncultured bacterium. RNAcentral's name for it is "bacterial SSU rRNA". It matches the Rfam family "Bacterial small subunit ribosomal RNA", at positions 8 to 722 of the family's 1533-position model. The record is from RNAcentral.
AGAGUUUGAUCAUGGCUCAGAUUGAACGCUGGCGGCAUGCCUUACACAUGCAAGUCGAACGGUAACGCGGGGGCAACCCUGGCGACGAGUGGCGAACGGGUGAGUAGCGCAUCGGAACGUGCCCAGUAGUGGGGGAUAGCUCGGCGAAAGCCGGAUUAAUACCGCAUACGACCUACGGGUGAAAGCGGGGGACCGCAAGGCCUCGCGCUAUUGGAGCGGCCGAUGCCCGAUUAGCUAGUUGGUGAGGUAAAGGCUCACCAAGGCAACGAUCGGUAGCUGGUCUGAGAGGACGACCAGCCACACUGGGACUGAGACACGGCCCAGACUCCUACGGGAGGCAGCAGUGGGGAAUUUUGGACAAUGGGGGAAACCCUGAUCCAGCCAUGCCGCGUGCGGGAAGAAGGCCUUCGGGUUGUAAACCGCUUUUGGCAGGAACGAAACGGCGCGCGCCAAUACCGCGCGUUAAUGACGGUACCUGCAGAAUAAGCACCGGCUAACUACGUGCCAGCAGCCGCGGUAAUACGUAGGGUGCAAGCGUUAAUCGGAAUUACUGGGCGUAAAGCGUACGCAGGCGGCUGUGCAAGACAGGUGUGAAAUCCCCGGGCUUAACCUGGGAACUGCAUUUGUGACUGCAUGGCUAGAGUCCGUAAGAGGGGGGUGGAAUUCCACGUGUAGCAGUGAAAUGCGUAGAGAUGUGGAGGAACACCGAUGGCGAAGGC